CAUGCUUUGGAUGGUUGGUUG
RNAcentral lists this non-coding RNA (21 nucleotides) under Arabidopsis thaliana (thale cress). Lineage: Eukaryota; Viridiplantae; Streptophyta; Magnoliopsida; Brassicales; Brassicaceae. The record is from RNAcentral.